Molecule: ribosomal RNA, 460 nt
Filed under: uncultured bacterium
Lineage: Bacteria
Description: partial 16S ribosomal RNA
Rfam family: Bacterial small subunit ribosomal RNA
Source: RNAcentral
CCUACGGGAGGCAGCAGUGAGGAAUAUUGGUCAAUGGGCGUAAGCCUGAACCAGCCAAGUAGCGUGAGGGAUGAAGGUUCUAUGGAUCGUAAACCUCUUUUAUAAGGGAAUAAAGUGCGGGACGUGUCCCGUUUUGUAUGUACUUUAUGAAUAAGGAUCGGCUAACUCCGUGCCAGCAGCCGCGGUAAUACGGAGGAUCCGAGCGUUAUCCGGAUUUAUUGGGUUUAAAGGGUGCGUAGGCGGCCUUUUAAGUCAGCGGUGAAAGUCUGUGGCUCAACCAUAGAAUUGCAGUUGAGACUGGGAGGCUUGAGUAUGUUUGAGGCAGGCGGAAUGCGUGGUGUAGCGGUGAAAUGCUUAGAUAUCACGCAGAACCCCGAUUGCGAAGGCAGCCUACCAAGCCAUGACUGACGCUGAUGCACGAAAGCGUGGGGAUCAAACAGGAUUAGAUACCCUUGUAGUC